GAUCCUGGCUCAGGAUGAACGCUGGCGGCGCGCCUAACACAUGCAAGUCGAACGGCACCUAUCUUCGGAUAGAAGCGAGUGGCGAACGGCUGAGUAACACGUGGAGAACCUGCCCCCUCCCCCGGGAUAGCCGCCCGAAAGGACGGGUAAUACCGGAUACCCCGGGGUGCCGCAUGGCACCCCGGCUAAAGCCCCGACGGGAGGGGAUGGCUCCGCGGCCCAUCAGGUAGACGGCGGGGUGACGGCCCACCGUGCCGACAACGGGUAGCCGGGUUGAGAGACCGACCGGCCAGAUUGGGACUGAGACACGGCCCAGACUCCUACGGGAGGCAGCAGUGGGGAAUCUUGCGCAAUGGGGGGAACCCUGACGCAGCGACGCCGCGUGCGGGACGGAGGCCUUCGGGUCGUAAACCGCUUUCAGCAGGGAAGAGUCAAGACUGUACCUGCAGAAGAAGCCCCGGCUAACUACGUGCCAGCAGCCGCGGUAAUACGUAGGGGGCGAGCGUUAUCCGGAUUCAUUGGGCGUAAAGCGCGCGUAGGCGGCCCGGCAGGCCGGGGGUCGAAGCGGGGGGCUCAACCCCCCGAAGCCCCCGGAACCUCCGCGGCUUGGGUCCGGUAGGGGAGGGUGGAACACCCGGUGUAGCGGUGGAAUGCGCAGAUAUCGGGUGGAACACCGGUGGCGAAGGCGGCCCUCUGGGCCGAGACCGACGCUGAGGCGCGAAAGCUGGGGGAGCGAACAGGAUUAGAUACCCUGGUAGUCCCAGCCGUAAACGAUGGACGCUAGGUGUGGGGGGACGAUCCCCCCGUGCCGCAGCCAACGCAUUAAGCGUCCCGCCUGGGGAGUACGGCCGCAAGGCUAAAAC
Molecule: ribosomal RNA, 863 nt
Filed under: human gut metagenome
Description: bacterial SSU rRNA
Rfam family: Bacterial small subunit ribosomal RNA
Source: RNAcentral